UGCCCACAGGUUCUUUUCCCAUUGGAUCUGAACACCAGUUUUGGUGGUUGUUAAAGGAGGAAAAGUAAUACUGAAGCUGGCCUCAUGGUGCUUGUAGUCUGCUCUAUAGCAUGUGGGCUAGUUUCAAAUAAAG
This is a small nucleolar RNA of Myotis lucifugus (little brown bat), 133 nucleotides long. Lineage: Eukaryota; Metazoa; Chordata; Mammalia; Chiroptera; Vespertilionidae. The record is from Ensembl.